This is an RNA transcript of Myotis brandtii (Brandt's bat), 3160 nucleotides long. It is a transcript of the gene named lysine (K)-specific demethylase 8, with no coding region annotated. The transcript has 8 exons. NCBI's taxonomy places the organism in Eukaryota, Metazoa, Chordata, Mammalia, Chiroptera, Vespertilionidae. The record is from RefSeq and is a predicted model, not a curated record.
UUAAAGAUCCAAUCCGGAGAGGACAACUUUGCGCACGCGCCUUGGAAGGCUCGUCAGAGACGCGACAGAGCCAGCGCAUGCGCUCUGAGAAUUCCGGGUAGCAACUCUCCAACUCUCCAGACCAGAGCAACCUUGGGUAGGAGCGAGUAGCCCUGCGCAUGGGCAAUGAUUUUAUUUCAGAAUUUUGCGCGUGCUUGCAAGCCAGGAUGUUCUGCGCCUGCGCAGUUCUUGUAUCGCCUUGGUUUGACUCUAGUGCGCCUGCGCGGUCUUUUGUUUCUUACUCGUAGCUGCCGGACCAAUCGGCGUUGUCUUCGGCCUGGAGGUCGGCGGACUGGGAACGUUUGAACCGCGGGGUUCCGAAUGGCCCGCCAGAGAUGAACCCCAACCCGGGGGGCAGCGCAGGGAGGGAAAGGGUGUGAGUCCUGGGGGAGGAGGGAGGGUGUGGGCAGGUGCCGCGCCCGAGGGAGCAGGUGGGGCCCGCGCGCUGGGCGCCUGAAGGACCGGGCUUUCCCACUCGGCCACUCGGCAGGAGCUAACUCAGCAUCAGCAUCGCGUUGCCCCUCAGGAUGCGAAGACCGCAGUCAGCCUGAGCUGGCAGUGGGCCUGAUGGCAGAAGACAGCAACCGAGACGCGCUGGCGGGGCCAGGGGCUCUCUGGGAGGCCCUCCGGGCGCUCCUGCCCCGCACUAAAGAAGAACUGCGGUUGGACCUCGGUGCGAGCGUGGAGGGGAGUGUGGUGGUGCUGCUGCAGCAAGCCGCCGACCUCUUCUACGGGGGCAGACGGAGCGAGUGUCUGCAGACGAGCGAGGCGGUCCUUGACUACUCCUGGGAGAAACUCAAUACCGGGCUGUGGCAGGACGUGGACAAAGACUGGCGUCGGGUUUAUGCCUUCGGCUGCCUCCUGAAAGCCAUGUGCCUGUGUGAAGGGCCUGGGGACUCGGCCACCGUGGCCGCAGCCCUCAGAGCCUGUGACAUGGGCCUGCUGAUGGGAGCGGCCAUCUUCGAUGACAUCCUCAUUAAAGUCGCUGCCGUCCUCCAGGCGCACCUUCCCCCUGGAAAAAGGCCUGCCCAAAGUCCGGCCCCGGAGCAGCCCCGCUUAAAGAAAGCCAGGAAUGGCCAUGUUUCGAUUCCUGAUAUGAGGUCAGAGAAAGCAGUCCCCCGGCUUCACUGUCCGUCCCUGCAGCAUUUCAGGAAGCAUUAUUUGAUUCCACAGACGCCUGUGAUCUUGGAAGGCGUGGCCGACCAUUGGCCGUGCAUGAAGAAGUGGAGCUUGGAGUAUAUACAAGAAAUUGCUGGCUGCCGCACUGUCCCGGUGGAAGUGGGCUCUAGGUACACCGACGAGGAAUGGUCCCAGAGGCUCAUGACGGUCAGUGAGUUCAUCAGCUGCUACAUCCUCAACGAGAAAGCCAGGAAUGGCCAUGUUUCGAUUCCUGAUAUGAGGUCAGAGAAAGCAGUCCCCCGGCUUCACUGUCCGUCCCUGCAGCAUUUCAGGAAGCAUUAUUUGAUUCCACAGACGCCUGUGAUCUUGGAAGGCGUGGCCGACCAUUGGCCGUGCAUGAAGAAGUGGAGCUUGGAGUAUAUACAAGAAAUUGCUGGCUGCCGCACUGUCCCGGUGGAAGUGGGCUCUAGGUACACCGACGAGGAAUGGUCCCAGAGGCUCAUGACGGUCAGUGAGUUCAUCAGCUGCUACAUCCUCAACGAGAGUCUUACUAGCGAGGGCCGGGAAUGCAGCUUGUCUGCGGGGGCCUGAACCAUCCCUGUUGGCCGGGACAAGGGGAGCUCUCAGGGGCUGUCCACCCGCACCUGUGGUGGGCAAGGACCUUCACGAGGUGUGCGCGGUCAGCAUCAGUGCUUUGCAGCUCUUCCGCCGCACCCGGCAGCCCGCUCCCAGCCCAGGGGCUCUGUAAAGCUCUGACCGGUUUGGUCAUGGGUCUGCUGCAUUGACCGUCCAGGUCAGUGACCAUGGGGCUAAGGUUUCCUCGCUUGGCCUUCUCACCUUCUCACCUGACGGACCACCCCGUGGCCCUUCCUGACCCCAUCUCUGCGCUCCUACAUUUCCCCUCCUCCACGGCACUCGGUGCGGUUCACUUGGCUGCGGGGCCCCUCCAGCAGGGCUCACAGACGUCCUUCCAUUCCUGCUUCUGCAUUCCUCCCGGCCCCGUCUCUGCUCAGUUCACUGUCACCUGGAGGCCUGGAAAGAGAGCUGUGGGCUAGAGACGUGCCGUGUGCACGUCCACCUCUGCUGUAGGCAUGCACCCCGCACGGGCCUGGGCAUCUCCCUCCGCCAGGAGGAAGCCUGCUUGCUCGGCAGAGGCGGAGCCAGAGGGUGUGCGUGGGUCAGGAUGUGCACUUGCAGUUCAGGCAGAACAGCACUGUAUCCAGCACUGGCCCUGGCUGGCUGUGUGUCGUCGGCUGGUUACUUAACCUCUCGGGUCGCCAGUGCCCUGACCUUUGGUUAGUUAGGUCGGUUGGGGUCGGUUGAAGUUACCGACGCUUCCUAGGGUCAUUGCGAGAGUAGCAGGGGGAGCUGCAAGAGCACAGCUGGCGCUCAGUUACCAUGGCCUUCGGUCCCUCUGCACCAGGGGCUAUAGGUCACGUCACAUCUGGCUCUGCCCAGCGCUUAGUGCAGGGUCUGGCAUUUUGUAAACUGUUUGUGGGAAGGAAGAGAGAAUGAAGGAGGAGACAGAAAGACAGAUUUUUGAGGAAUCCUGGGGGAACUUCUUUCCUUCAACACCAUUUCAGCCUCAGAGCUUGAGGCCAAGCCAACUCCGCCCUGAAGCCCGAGGGCCGCGCCUGGCGUCCCUCCACUCCUCCAAUGGAUCCCCAGGGCCGGUGUGUGAAACUGACCUUUUCACACAGUGAUAAUCUCCAAAGAUGUAGGAAAAUGGGCGCUCAGAUUAAUUGCUGGGAAGAGUCUAAAUCAUUUAACUUUGGGGCAAAUAACCUGGCAGAAGCUAUGAAAAUUUAAAAAGCACAUACUCCUUGUCUCAGUUCUGCUUUUGCACAUAGUAUCUUAUAUAAUAAAGAGCUAAUAUGCAUAUGGUCGUCACGCCCUCGUGACGGGGCCAGGGGACCUGAGGCCGAGCCCCCUGCCUUGUGGGGCUUGAUGGAGGUGGGGCCGGCCGGGUCUGGGUCUCGCGCGAUUUCAAGGUGUGCACGGG